This 5733-nucleotide long non-coding RNA is filed under the name Salmo salar (Atlantic salmon). RNAcentral describes it as "lncRNA (ENSSSAG00000117487.1)". The record is from RNAcentral. Lineage: Eukaryota; Metazoa; Chordata; Actinopteri; Salmoniformes; Salmonidae.
AAAUCUAUCACAGAUUAAGAACAGUUAGAGCCAAUCUUUAGUGUGUAGCAGUGGUGAUGGCGAGGUUAAAAUGUCACUUAUGACUUCAUUUUCCACAUGACAACAACUUCUCAUAGUGUAUACACAAAACUAAACAGCUUAUACAAAUUACAUAGCCACACAACCCAAACAUGACAGCCAACAUGACUAAUAACUCUGAAUAACUGGGUGAGUUCAAAGGUCAAAAUCAGAGUUUAUUAUACAACCUUUGAUCUAUUGUGUGUCAGGACAGGUGUGUGUAUCACCCAGACUAUGAUCUCAGCUGAGAAACACACACGAAGAACACUUCACAGAGACAACAUGUUCAGAAUUUCUGUGUUGAUCUGCAUCUCUCUACUGGUUUAUGGCAACUCAGCCAAGCCAUACAAGUCCUGGGAUAAAGUGGCUGAGUAUGCAGUCCAGGAGACUCUGAUGUCUGAAAAGGAGAGGGUGAUGUUUGAUCUGGGGCUGAAGCAGGUGGAGGCUCCUGAAGACAUGGACAUCACUAACAAUGACAUCCACCCUGUCAUGGCCAUCUGGAAGAACAUGAGAGGGGGAGGUGGGAAGAGACAGAAGGUAGAAAAAGAGGUAGUCCAAGGCAGAUACUCCACAACCGAGGAGGACAUGGACCAUCUAUACCACCCAUCCAUGGAGCAGACCCACGAGGCUGACCUGGCCAGAGCCCGAUCUCAGCCAGAGGACACCUUCGUUCGGAUGGCCAUCCAGACAGAGCCCCUUGAGGAGGAUAACACCAAGUACUACCAGGAGGCUGGGAUAGAUCUAGAUAACAUCUCUCAUCUCUUCUCAGGCCAGGUGGAUCCACGGCACCCUGAAGAGGACUGGGACGAACUCUACCAUCCAGAGAUGAAAAGGGGAGACGGGCAGUACCAAGUGGACGUGCCUCACCAGGGGGAGCUAGCUGCUGUAGGGGCAGAGGUGAAGGGUCAUAGUGAGCCAGAGGAAGACAGGGAUGACCUCUACCAUGGUGACCUGCCUGUACCUGUACCUGGCCAGGACAGGCAGCAGUCUGCCGAUCGGCCCUCUCAGAGGAUGUACAGAGAACCAGAAGAGGACCUGGAUGACCUCUAUCAUCAUUAAUUAAACACCUAAGACCCAUGAUAUCUGCCCCCUAACUGACUGUCAACUCUACAGUCAGAUACAGCUCUACUGCAUCCAAUCAAAUACAGUUAAAAGCUGUACAUACAGCAAUGGGUUAAAUGCACAUCGGAGUGACUCUAUAGAAGUCUAUAAACUAACACUGUAUGGAUCUAACCGUUUAUUAUGUUUAAUAACCAGUACUGUAUAAGUUGAUCUUCUAAAACAUUAAAGACACUUGUAACCUCUACUGUAAUGUGUCUGUCUUACAUCUACUUAAUCAUUCACAUGGAAUACGAAUAGAAAAAUCACUAUUGUUUAUUUACAAUUGAUACAUUGCAUAUUCGAUUUCAGACGGAUCGUGACAUCAACAUAAUAUAUAUUUUUAAAGAAAAUCUAGAUGUUUCUCAGAAACAUGCAAACUCAAAUUCUUAGGUAAUUUGUUAGGCAAUGCGAAAUUUGGUUGUGCCCCGUCGAUAACAUUCAUUGUGUGUGUCAAUCUAGUAGUUCACCCGGGAUGACUCCCUUCUUCAGUAUCAGGCACCCAUAGAGCGCUGUCUCCCUGUUUAUAUAGAGAGAGAGACACAGUAAACACACACACAAAACUAGAGAGAUACCUAGUCAGUUAGUUGCACAUCUGAAUGAAUUCAACCGAAAUGUGUCUUCCACCAUUUAACCCAACCCCUCCGAAUCAGAGCGGUGCAGGGGGCUUCCUUAAUCGUCGUCAUCGGCAGCCUGGGAGCAGUUGUUGUUGGGGGUUAACUGCCUUGCUCAAGGGCAGAACGGCCAAUUUCUCCACCUUGCCAGCUCGGGAUUCGAACCAGCGACCUUUCGGUCACUGGCCCAACGCUGUUAACCGCUAGGUUACCUGCCGCCCCACUUAUCUACACUGAUGCAUGACGUGCCCACACGCACACACAAAGAGAGAAAAACCUGUAUCUCACCCAGUUGCUACAACAGCAAAGGCUUUCUUGGCUCGUUCAUAGAAUGCAAAUCUCUCCACCUUCUCUAGAGGAGCCUGGACACAGAACACACAAUAACUUUACUCAACAUAUAAGUAUGUGUGUGUGUGCGCAUGCGUUCACCCCUAUCCACUCACCUGUACCCCAGCAUGUGCCAGCUUCUGUCUGAAGAUGUCCCAUACAGGAGUGGCUAGUCCCCUUUUUUUGUCACUGUCCACCAACUCCAUCACGGCAGCCUACACACGUACAUGCACACAAAACAAUUGGUCACUGUCCAGCUAGCUCUCCAGAUGUGACAUAUUGACAUUUCCAGUUGCUGGGGACCUACCGGGCUGAGGACGUAGGUAUCCAGGGGCAAUAACUUCAAAAUGGCCUCCAAAAGCUCAGCAGCCCCUAGACCUGCGGGAAAAUCACAGAGACUGACCAUAUAAUACAAUACAACACACUCUUUAAUUAGGGCCAGUAUCGGGACACUCGUUAGUAUCGUGGCAACACUGGCAAGGAAACAAAACACGAAGGAAAACAGCCCUAAUGUUGGAAACAAACAAUUAUUUGUGGUCAUCCAGACAAAGUGGGUGGGGUUAUAUCCUACCUGUUUGGCCCUGUCCGGGGGUUUCAUCGGAUGGGGCCACAGUGUCUCCUGACCCCUCCUGUCUCAGCCUCCAGUAUUUAUGCUGCAGUAGUUUAUGUGUCGGGGGGCUAGGGUCAGUCUGUCACAUCUGGAGUAUUUCUCUUGUCUUUUCCGGUGUCCUGUGUGAAUUUAAAUAUGCUCUCUCUAAUUCUCUCUUUCUUUCUCUCUCUCGGAGGACCUGAGCCCUAGGACCAUGCCUCAGGACUACCUGGCUUGAUGACUCCUUGCUGUCCCCAGUUCACCUGGCCGUGCUGCUGCUCCAGUUCCAACUGUUCUGCCUGCAGCUAUGGAACCCUGACCUGUUCACCGGACGUGCUACCUGUCCCAGACCUGUUGUCCCAGACCUGCUGGAACCCUGACCUAUUCACCGGACGUGCUACCUGUCCCAGACCUGCUGUUUUCAACUCUCUAGAGACAGCAGGAGCGGUAGAGAUACUCUCAAAGAUCGGCUAUGAAAAAGCCAACUGACACUUACUCUUGUGUUGCUGACUUGUUGCACCCUCGACAACUACUAUGAUUAUUAUUAUUAUUUGACAAUGCUGGUCAUUUAUGAACAUUUGAACAUCUAGGCCAUGUGCUGUUAUAAUCUCCACCCGCACAGCCAGAAGAGGACUGGCCACCCCUCAUAGCCUGGUUCGUCUCUAGGUUUCUUCCUAGGUUUUGGCCUUUCUAGGGAGUUUUUCCUAGCCACCGUGCUUCUACACCUGCAUUGCUUGCUGUUUGGGGUUUUAGGCUGGGUUUCUGUACAGCACUUUGAGAUAUCAGCUGAUGUAAGAAGGGCUAUAUAAAUACAUUUGAUUUGAUUUAUUUUCCAUGCUACAGCAAACAAUAUUUUACAUACAUUGUGUUUUCAUUUUUGCCAGGGAAAAAUAUAAGUAUACUACAUACCGGUACUACACCACAUAAGUAUCCGGAGUGUUUUUUCUGUUCCCCUGGUUAAGUAAAGGUUAACUAUACACCUACCAUCAGCUCGGUUAAGUAAAGGUUAACUAUACACCUACCAUCAGCUCGGAUCUCAAUGGGACCGCAGGUGCAGGUGGAGGAGGUAGGGAAGUUUGUAUCAGCCAGAACUGUAACAAGACAAUGAAUUCAAAUAUAUCAAUGUAAUCUUUUUAUUGUCCUUGUUUGAGACUUCAAUCUGUAACCAGGAGUUUGAGUUGAGAGAUGAGUUGACACAUUUUUUUUUUUUUAAACAGAAGUUGCCAGAUUGAUUGGAUGGGGGAUAAACUAAAACUGUAAUGUCUUCUAUUGACUAUUGCAUUUCACCUCGCUUAGGUGGUAUAAACCUACAGCCUAGGUUUGAGGAGUUUAGAAACAAAAGCCAAUAGUGGAGGUGCAUAAAGAUGGCGGCCCUCAUGCACUUACCACAAAUUCCUAGUUUUUAAUAAGUUAGCCAUAUUGUACAUUGCUCUCGUUACCCUUUUUUGUAUGGACAUUAGCAGAUAUCACGUGCUGUAGUUUAAAAACUCAGUGUGGAUAGUGCUAAAACAAUGAUGUCAUAUUUGAAUUUUGCCAUCUUUAUGCACAUUCACCAUUACAUCAGUUGUUAGAAUGCAUUAGAUUGAAGAUAACAGUCAGUCAGAUUAGGCUACAGGUAAAACAUAUAUAAUUAACACUGACUAUUGGGAAACACAAGCACUUCUUACCUCUAAAUCGCCAAGCUAUUCAUGUUGAAUAAAUGUGUGUGUUAUUUUGAACUAUGGUAGCAGCUAAAUUGUUCAGUUCACAGCUUGCCUACAUUAUGCCUAGGCUAUUGCAGACUAUCCAAAAUAAGAUGUAGGCCUAUCAGGAGCUAAAGGCUACCUGCAUAUAUCUAAGAAAACCAUGGCAAAGUUGAAUUACAAUAAUAAACCCAGAUUUUAGUCUGUAGCCUAUGCCUAUUGAAAUGACAGGUCAAUCUCGCAAAUGGGCCAUUUAUAAAUGUUUGCAGUCUUAACAUCUGGCACAUAAUAAUGGCAGAAUUGCCAGAAAAUAGCCUAACAUUCGGAUUUGGACAUCCUCUGUCCAACUUUCAUCACUCAAACUCCUGUCGGAUUUAUCUAUAGUGCGCAAAAGAGAUGCAUUUACAAUUAUAAAACCGGUUUCGAGCCCUGAAUGCUGCUUGGCUAAAAGCUGUGGUAUAUCAGACCGUAUACCAUGGGUAUAACAAAACAAAAGUUACUGUUCUAAUUACGUUGGUAACCAGUUUAAGCAAUAAGGCACCCUGGGGUUUGUGGUAUCUGGCCAUUACACCCGGGCUAACGGCUGUAUAGAGGCACUCUGCAUUGCGUCACGCUUAAGAACAGCCCUUAUGGAUGUCGAUUUAACUCGUUUGACUGCAAUGAUUAAGCAAUAAGGCACAAGGGGUAAGGCAUGUGGCCAACGACUUAAAUCGUCAUCCAUUGACGGAAAAUGAUCUGGCGAGUUUAACCCGGCCAAUUAUCUUUUCUCUUGCGACAUAUUCAAAUGUCUUUAUUAUGACAUGUCAUAGUUCACAAUAAUUCAUAUUUUGAUGAAAACAGAAUUUUGCGUCUAACGUCGUUACAAGUUUGGUCGAGAUUACUUCUUAAUUGUCUCGAUAACGUUUUGGGGAAAAGGGUUUAUUGUAUACACGUGUCCGCUCCUCUCUUGCUGUCGAAAAAACUAGUUGGGUUCGUUUUCAGACCUUUUGCGCGGGUUGAGCAGUCAUUGUCUUAGAACUUGUAGCGGUACCUGGCAACCCUGAUCGGCACACUGCUUUGUUUGAAUUACAGUGCUUUGCGAUUUCGACGCAUGCCUCGGAGCUCCGGUAUCAAACAUUAACAUCACUGCUGACAACAAGAUCCAUCAAACAGAUGACGUUCACAGACCUUCACUGAACCAGCAAGUUAAUGUUCGCUCUUACGAGCGUAGCUAGCUGAUUUAUUUACCCAGUUCGUCUCCGUGGCCCAUCUUGGCCAGAGCAUACAGCAGCUCUGGCGACAGAAUGGACGGUAUUCCUUUUAGAAUAACCAUAGUAGCAGGUUCGAUAACACAGGCACUUCACAGAAGGAAAAAGACGACCAGGAA